RNAcentral lists this long non-coding RNA (619 nucleotides) under Piliocolobus tephrosceles (Ugandan red Colobus). RNAcentral describes it as "lncRNA (ENSPTEG00000011079.1)". Lineage: Eukaryota; Metazoa; Chordata; Mammalia; Primates; Cercopithecidae. The record is from RNAcentral.
CUUAAAUGGCACUUUAUUUUAGUUACUUUUUUUCUGUUUCUCUCCCUCUUCCCACCCUCUGACAGGCCCCAGUGUGUGUUGUUCCUCUCUAUAUGUCCAUGUGUUCUCAUCAUUAAGUGGCACUUUAAAGAUGCUUCCAUUAAUUGACAGUUCUGAGUCCAUGAUGGUAAAACUUUUGAGAAACAAACUGACUGCCAAGGAAAAGUCUCCAUGCACUACAAACAGUUUUGGCUUCUUUUGAAGAGAUUGACAAUCAGGAGUCUGAAUCAGGAAUUGACCAGCUGACCAGCUGGCUAAGCACCCAAAUGUGUGUGGUGAGGGUGAGACUUAAAAACAGAGUUCAACGUCUGAAAUCUAGAAGCAAUUUGGUGCCAGUGUUCUCCACACGAGGUAAUUGUGAUGCCUAUAGUUGACAGCUGUUUGCAGGAGUGAUCCAGCCUGAAUGAUGUAUUUUCCCUCACAUUCUUCCCAGUGAUGGACAGUCUGUAUCUGCCUCCUGCCAGCCGGGUUGCAAACAUAAUGUACUCUUUGCGGCUUCAAUCAAAAUGUAUGUUGUUAUAACCUGGAUGAUGUUUGGUAAAGUUCUUUAACUUAAGGAAAAGUAUUUUGUGCCCUGUCA